Molecule: long non-coding RNA, 544 nt
Filed under: Zea mays
Lineage: Eukaryota; Viridiplantae; Streptophyta; Magnoliopsida; Poales; Poaceae
Description: long non-coding RNA (ZMAY_LNC002973)
Source: RNAcentral
ACAGUCAUAGAUCCAUCACAUAAACACAAAAGCACCACAAUUAUAUAUUCACAAAAGUAUCACAAUUAUAAUAUCAUUCACAACUAGAUCACUAAUGUUUCAUAUCACUCCAACUAUUGUUCAAAAGCCCACAACUAUAUCACUCUAGCUGCUCCAGAGCUGAUCAGUCACAAAAGCACCAAAGCUACACUAAUGCUUCAAGCAGUUCAAAAGCCUUCAGACAACCACUCCAGCUUCUUGUAUCCUCCUGUUUUAAGGUACAAGCUUUCUUUGUCCAGAACACCCUAGAAAAAAGUACAUCAAAUUAGUAUAUUGUUGCUGCAUUUGCAAAUAAAAAUACAGUUUUGAUGCCUUAUCUACCUCCACUAGAUGGUGUUGCAGCCUUAUGAUGGAAUGAAUUUGCUUCUGGAAUGCACAAUACUUCAUGUGCAACAGCCCCCCCAAAAAUAGCAACUCCUUCAACACAUCAUAAGUUUAUUUUUUAAGUAAGACGAAGCAAUCCACAAGUUCAUAUAAGGGGGUGUUUGGUUUCUAGGGACUAAUG